Molecule: long non-coding RNA, 666 nt
Filed under: Chloebia gouldiae (Gouldian finch)
Lineage: Eukaryota; Metazoa; Chordata; Aves; Passeriformes; Passeridae
Description: Erythrura gouldiae (Gouldian finch) lncRNA (ENSEGOG00005012518.1)
Source: RNAcentral
UCUCAACAAUCAUGUGACCUACUUUAGCUUGUUUUUCAGACACUGCAGAAGAGCAAAAUUAAUGAAAACUUGGGUGAAACCACUCUGUUGUCACAACUUCAUAAUGACCUUACUAACAAACUGGAUAUCAGCACCAACAGCAUUUCUUCUCUUACAUUUUUGGAGAGCAAAGGUACAUGCUUCUGGAAACCCAGAAGAGGAAAUAGAUUACACAUAUGUUAUUAUAGGAGUUACUCUGGGAGCAGUUCUAGCAAUCGGUUUUGUAGCAGUAAUAAUCUGCAUGAUGAAAGCCAAAAUGGUUGACAGUGACUUUGGAGAGUCAGAUGGCAAAAUGGAAAGAAGGUCAAACACGGGAUCAAGCCAAAACAGAUGACAGCAAUGCAAUAAGAAAUCAAAGUACAAGACAUCAAUAACCCUUUUGCAAUCAACAGUUACCUGAUCUGAGGAUCAAUAGAAGUCUCUUGUGCACAGGCAGGAAUCUUACCAAUACCAAUCCUUUUCUCUGUUCUUUAGUUGAAAAGCUGAUUGAUUGCUUACAGGAAGAGCUUAUAGUGCAGCUAACUUCAAUAACCUGCACCCAAAAGGCCUGCAAUCCCCCUCAGCAUGUCUGUGAAGGAGAUGUGUGAGGAAAAUAAAAUGGGUUCUGUUCACUAAUAGAUCCUCUUU